Hyposmocoma kahamanoa is the source of this 302-nucleotide long non-coding RNA. RefSeq lists it as uncharacterized. The transcript has 3 exons. NCBI's taxonomy places the organism in Eukaryota, Metazoa, Arthropoda, Insecta, Lepidoptera, Cosmopterigidae. The record is from RefSeq and is a predicted model, not a curated record.
GGGCCGGACAUGUCGGACCGGAUAACCGGCUCAAUUUAACAACCUUCCAUCGACUGUACUUAGUACGAAAUAACUCCACCUGAUUUUAAAUGGAAAGGGGUAUCCAAACGCGAAGGAAAACAGUGCAGUGUUCAUGCAGUCGCUGCCCUCCUAGCCAUCUCCAUCCUGGAUGCCCACAAGAUGCCUCUUCGCGUGCAACGCCGUAGGAGGUCCAUCGGAGAGCGAAGCCCGAAGCGUCCGCACUCCACCGUACGUAGAUAGUGUAUGGAGGCUCUGUACAAGAUCUCGCAAUUGUUAAAAAU